Long non-coding RNA from Carassius auratus (goldfish), 448 nucleotides. RefSeq lists it as uncharacterized. The record is from RefSeq and is a predicted model, not a curated record. NCBI's taxonomy places the organism in Eukaryota, Metazoa, Chordata, Actinopteri, Cypriniformes, Cyprinidae. The transcript has 3 exons.
AUGCUUGGGACUACAAAUUUGUUGGACUACAGAUCCCAUGAGUCCAAGUACUAUAAAGGGGGAAAUCAAAUCUUCUGGCCUUUCUCUUUGUGGGACCAUGUGCUGCGUAGGAGAAGCUGUGUGUAUGCUUAAAGGAUAUAUACUGGUGGAUGCCUCAGAAAUUGAGUAGAUUCAUUCAUUAACACAGAUGAUGCAUGAUUGCCGUUUACUUUUAUCUAAAAUAUUGGUGGGUUAAUGUUGGGUUGUAAGAUAUGACUUUUAACAGUUACACUAUGAUGAAGUGAUUUGAAUUUCUUGUGGGACUGUGAUUUUGUUUCGUUUAUUUGUCUUCGUUUUGUGUUAAUCAACCAAAGACAAAGGGGUUCCCAUUCUUGUAUGCAUGGUUGACUCUUAAGGUGAUUGGGCACAAUUUGUAAUGGUUUGAGUCAAGUGCGUGUUGGUUUUCUAU